GCCAGUUCGUCCUCCGGGAUGGUGGGGACACUGUUGGGACCGCCUCUGCUAAAGAGGAGGAAGGAAUGGGCAACGGUAGGUCAGCAUGCCCCGAAUUAUCUGGGCUACACGCGGGCUACAAUGGGUGGGACAAUGGGUAUCGACACCGAAAGGUGAAGGCAAUCUCCUAAACCCAUCCGUAGUUCGGAUUGUGGGCUGCAACUCGCCCACAUGAAGCUGGAAUCUGUAGUAAUCGUGUCUCAAAAUGGCACGGUGAAUAUGUCCCUGCUCCUU
This 273-nucleotide ribosomal RNA is filed under the name uncultured Methanomicrobiales archaeon. Its description in RNAcentral is "partial 16S ribosomal RNA". It matches the Rfam family "Archaeal small subunit ribosomal RNA", at positions 1066 to 1338 of the family's 1478-position model. Lineage: Archaea; Methanobacteriati; Methanobacteriota; Methanomicrobia; Methanomicrobiales. The record is from RNAcentral.